CUUUUUUUUCUUUCUUCUAUUGAAUGUACAGUUACACGUUUCCUGUGUUCAUUUGAAAUCUUUUGAACCAAGUUUUAUCUAGUUACGUAUACUUAAUGUCCAUGUUCUAAGAUACUUUUGAACAGUUUAUUCUGUGGUAGCUUGGUUUUGCAGACAUACAGAGAAGAGAACCGUCAGAAAUGACAUUACUUCGUGCCCUUUACAAAUAAAGAAUACUUUGAGGGCUAAUUGUGUACCGUUGUAACACAAAGUCUAUUUCAUUCUGUUUGGCUUUAACAAAAUCAUGGUCAUUGACUAUCUUGCCUUCAAGAGAAACAGAAACUGGAUUGUUACUUAUCAUUUCUAUGACUUCUUUGUCCAUUAAAAAAAAACAUGUUUUUAAGAUAGUGGGUAAACGU
Molecule: long non-coding RNA, 398 nt
Organism: Mustela erminea (ermine)
Lineage: Eukaryota; Metazoa; Chordata; Mammalia; Carnivora; Mustelidae
Exons: 2
Source: RefSeq, a predicted model, not a curated record